This 242-nucleotide ribosomal RNA is filed under the name uncultured bacterium. Its description in RNAcentral is "partial 16S ribosomal RNA". It matches the Rfam family "Bacterial small subunit ribosomal RNA", at positions 92 to 334 of the family's 1533-position model. The record is from RNAcentral.
CGACCGGCGCACGGGUGAGUAACACGUAUCCAACCUGCCGUCUACUCUUGGCCAGCCUUCUGAAAGGAAGAUUAAUACAAGAUGUUAUCAUGAGUAAGCAUUUUCACAUGAUUAAAGGUUUACCGGUGUAAGAUGGGGAUGCGUUCCAUUAGAUAGUAGGCGGGGUAACGGCCCACCUAGUCUUCGAUGGAUAGGGGUUCUGAGAGGAAGGUCCCCCACAUUGGAACUGAGACACGGUCCAA